GGGGAAUAUUGGACAAUGGGCGAAAGCCUGAUCCAGCAAUGCCGCGUGAGUGAUGAAGGCCUUAGGGUUGUAAAGCUCUUUUACCCGGGAUGAUAAUGACAGUACCGGGAGAAUAAGCCCCGGCUAACUCCGUGCCAGCAGCCGCGGUAAUACGGAGGGGGCUAGCGUUGUUCGGAUUGACUGGGCGUAAAGCGCGCGUAGGCGGAUCGUCAAGUCGGGGGUGAAAUCCCGGGGCUCAACCCUGGAAUGGCCUUCGAGACUGGCGGUCUUGAGUUCGAGAGAGGUGGGUGGAAUUCCGAGUGUAGAGGUGAAAUUCGUAGAUAUUCGGAGGAACACCAGUGGCGAAGGCGGCCCACUGGCUCGACACUGACGCUGAGGCGCGAAAGCGUGGGGAGCAAA
Molecule: ribosomal RNA, 399 nt
Filed under: uncultured bacterium
Lineage: Bacteria
Description: bacterial SSU rRNA
Rfam family: Bacterial small subunit ribosomal RNA
Source: RNAcentral